Molecule: small RNA, 44 nt
Filed under: Bacteroidales bacterium Barb6XT
Lineage: Bacteria; Pseudomonadati; Bacteroidota; Bacteroidia; Bacteroidales
Description: Acido-Lenti-1 RNA
Rfam family: Acido-Lenti-1 RNA
Source: Rfam by way of RNAcentral
CCCGACGUUUACGUCGGGCUGAAAUCCGCCGUUCUUUCAGAACU